CUAACAUUUCCGGUGCCCGGGCAGGAUGCCCUGAUUCCAAGGCUGGUUCGUAAACAAAGGGAGGCCUCACGUCUGCAGAUGGGAAUGUCAGGAGGAGCAUGCAAGUCUGUUUAUUUGGUACCAGAUACAAAUGCCAUCCUCGAAGGUUUCUGCUCUGCUAAGUAUUCAGAAUUCCUGUGCACACUAGAAACACGGGCGGCUUCGAAGCAAACAUACAUUUCCACUUACAGCAUGUCCUCAGUGCUGUCUGAGGCUCAUAGUUAUCCCGUGGCUUAGGUACAGACUCGAACGUAUCGACAAAUGGAAAACAAAAGGAUCGAAACUCAUUGGCAAAAUCUGACCUGCUCCAUCGAAUGCUGGGAAUAUUUAAAUAAAUACAUGAUCUCAAAUCCUUUGGGAAAGCGGUUUCGUGUGUUUGGCCUUUCCUCUCUCUGCCCCCGGACUACUGGUUUAUCUAAAUUCACCUAUAAUCCCGUCGUCUACUCCUCGCUGACCGACUGCAACGACUCCCCAUUAUGUUGAUGAAGAAAACGGUGGGAAGAUACAGGGGAAGGCUGUGGUAAAAACAAGAGUUCAGAAUCUGAGCGCGACCGUGCAGUUCCUUGUUGCUACCACUAGCUGGCGCGAGAGCUCUAAAGAUGUGAUGAUAUAGUGCAUCACCGCUUGUUAAUUAAUAAAACUGUUUUCAAGCUGCUAGUAGUUACCCGAUGAAAAGCAUGAAAAUGUUUGACCUAACGCAGCAGCAAAGAGGCAGACAU
This is a long non-coding RNA of Peromyscus eremicus (cactus mouse), 758 nucleotides long. RefSeq lists it as uncharacterized. NCBI's taxonomy places the organism in Eukaryota, Metazoa, Chordata, Mammalia, Rodentia, Cricetidae. The record is from RefSeq and is a predicted model, not a curated record. The transcript is spliced from 3 exons.